RNAcentral lists this ribosomal RNA (605 nucleotides) under Amanita sp. TH8739. Its description in RNAcentral is "eukaryotic LSU rRNA". The stretch from base 201 to 354 matches the Rfam family "5.8S ribosomal RNA". The record is from RNAcentral. Lineage: Eukaryota; Fungi; Basidiomycota; Agaricomycetes; Agaricales; Amanitaceae.
AUGAACCUUGAGGCUGUUGCUGGCCCUCUGGNCNNNNNNNNNNUCUCNUNNAUUACCAAUUCCACCUGUGCACACUUGUAGACACUUGGGAAUGAGAGACUUUAAGCCAGUCUUUUGAAAAUCUAAUCCAGGUGUCUAUGCCAUUUUAUUAAACACUAGUUGCAUGUCUAUAGAAUGUUGAUUUGAUUAUAAUAAAAUACAACUUUCAACAACGGAUCUCUUGGCUCUCGCAUCGAUGAAGAACGCAGCGAAAUGCGAUAAGUAAUGUGAAUUGCAGAAUUCAGUGAAUCAUCGAAUUUUUGAACGCACCUUGCGCUCCUUGGCAUUCCGAGGAGCAUGCCUGUUUGAGUGUCACUAAAGUCUCAAAACCUGUCAGAUUUUUUGAUGGGUAUUGGAUGUUGGGAGUUUUGCAGGCUUGUCUCAGAUAAGCCAGCUCUCUUUGAAUGCAUUAGUGGAGACCAUUUGAACUUCAUUGGCGUGAUACAAUCUUAUCUAUGCCAGGAGUAGUAUUGGGUUAUCUUUGCUGUCUAACUGUCCAGAAAAUUGGACAACUUGACCAACUUGACCUCAAAUCAGGUANGACUACCUGCUGAACUUAAGCAUAU